CAGCAGCCUGUGGCAGGAGCUGAGCCUGAGAGCUGGUGUUUCCAGUAGCCAGUGAAGCAGAAUCUCUGUGGGGAACAUGAUGUCUUCCACCUGAACUCAUGGUUUCAGUCAAGCACUGUUUUUUUCAUAGAGCCAGUGGAUCACUGGGAAACUGACUCUCAAAAGGGAACAAAGAAACCAGAGACCUCCCUUGUAUCAUUUUCCAGUGUCCCAGGGUGAGCAAUCCUCAGAGACUCACUGAUAUUCUGACUUCAUGCUUCACUAACCUUGACCCAAGAGCUGUUGAAAAAUGCCAGUGCUGAAAUCAGUAGUUUGAGAUACCUAACCUAGGUCCUCCUCCACCGUCAUGCACCAGAACCUGAAAGCCUUGCUGCCCCCUCACCUGCCCUCCAGAGUCUUUGACUUUGGUACAAUACACCAAAGUUACUUGUCAGCUUCUGACCAUG
This is a long non-coding RNA of Erinaceus europaeus (western European hedgehog), 446 nucleotides long. RefSeq lists it as uncharacterized. NCBI's taxonomy places the organism in Eukaryota, Metazoa, Chordata, Mammalia, Eulipotyphla, Erinaceidae. The record is from RefSeq and is a predicted model, not a curated record. The transcript is spliced from 5 exons.